GACGAACGCUGGCGGCGUGCCUAAUACAUGCAAGUAGAACGCUGAAGAGAGGAGCUUACUCUUCUUGGAUGAGUUGCGAACGGGUGAGUAACGCGUAGGUAACCUGCCUUGUAGCGGGGGAUAACUAUUGGAAACGAUAGCUAAUACCGCAUAACAAUGGAUGACACAUGUCAUUUAUUUGAAAGGGGCAAUUGCUCCACUACAAGAUGGACCUGCGUUGUAUUAGCUAGUAGGUGAGGUAAUGGCUCACCUAGGCGACGAUACAUAGCCGACCUGAGAGGGUGAUCGGCCAGACUGGGACUGAGACACGGCCCAGACUCCUACGGGAAGCAGCAGGAGGGAAUCUUCGGCAAUGGGGGCAAACCUGACCGAGCAACGCCGCGGGAGUGAAGAAGGUUUUCGGGUCGUAAAGGUCUGUUGUAAGUCAAGAAAGGGUGUGAGAGUGGAAAGUUCACACUGUGACGGUAGCUUACCAGAAAGGGACGGCUAACUACGUG
RNAcentral lists this ribosomal RNA (497 nucleotides) under uncultured bacterium. RNAcentral's name for it is "partial 16S ribosomal RNA". It matches the Rfam family "Bacterial small subunit ribosomal RNA", at positions 28 to 507 of the family's 1533-position model. The record is from RNAcentral.